This 253-nucleotide ribosomal RNA is filed under the name uncultured bacterium. Its description in RNAcentral is "partial 16S ribosomal RNA". It matches the Rfam family "Bacterial small subunit ribosomal RNA", at positions 524 to 776 of the family's 1533-position model. The record is from RNAcentral.
UACGAAGGGGGCUAGCGUUGCUCGGAAUUACUGGGCGUAAAGGGAGCGUAGGCGGGUCGUCAAGUUGGGGGUGAAAGCCCAGGGCUCAACCUUGGAAUUGCCUUCAAAACUGACGAUCUAGAGUAUGGAAGAGGUACGUGGAACUCCGAGUGUAGAGGUGAAAUUCGUAGAUAUUCGGAAGAACACCAGUGGCGAAGGCGACUUACUGGUCCAUGACUGACGCUGAGGCUCGAAAGCGUGGGGAGCAAACAGG